AACCAGCUGACCUCUUCCGUGCUGGCAGGAGCGAAGUCCACUGGCGGGAGCAAACUCUGUGCAGGCCCCUUUGACCCCAAGGCCGUGACCAUGAAGUUUGGGGAGAUUAUCUUCAAGGACAUGCCCUGAAUAGGAUCAGUUACUCAAAAAGUAUGACGGAAUACAUGUGCAGAGAUAUCCUUCCAGGAAUAAGAAAAAUAAUAUGAAGUAAAUAUUUAAUUUUUUUUUUCUGGAACAUUGCUGAACUGGAAGUAAAGAACUGGAACUAGAGGAAACAAACAAUGAGAAAGUAUAAUUCCAUGAGGAUUAGCUGAAUCCUAGAGGUUGCCUGAUCCUUCGGAAUAUCUGCCAAUUGUUAUAGCCUGAAGUCUGGAUGUUAAUUGGCAUAUGCUUUAAAAACAGAAGUGAAAACCAGGUGCCAGAGUAGAGAAGUCCUCUACAGCCAUUUCCUGUGAACCAAGAUAGUAAAUUUGAUCCGCCUCCAAAGAUGAGGAGGAGGAAGUUGUGACUGCCAAUAAAAAGAAGCUUGAUUGUGGCCUUUCUGUAAGUAGAGGUGUACCCACACUGGUUGAAAAUAUCUUCAAAAUGAACACAAAUAAAUAUCCCUAAAACUCUUCUGGAUUCAGCUUGUGGGAAAGAGCAUUAUGAAGGGAAGGCAACUUGGUAGUUUUAUAAAAAGUACUCAGAAAAAUAAGUCUUCGUGUCUCAGUUGGAUACAUUUUAAAACUGAUGUUGAUAAAAUCAUAUGAAAACAAGUAAAUGGGUAAAACUGAGAUAAUCAGCAUACUUUUUAUUUUCUAUAAAAUAAAUACAGUUGACUUGAACAACACAGGAUUGAAGUGCAUGGAUCCACUUAU
Long non-coding RNA from Sapajus apella (tufted capuchin), 857 nucleotides. RefSeq lists it as uncharacterized. The transcript has 5 exons. The record is from RefSeq and is a predicted model, not a curated record. NCBI's taxonomy places the organism in Eukaryota, Metazoa, Chordata, Mammalia, Primates, Cebidae.